Molecule: non-coding RNA, 1099 nt
Organism: Pantherophis guttatus
Lineage: Eukaryota; Metazoa; Chordata; Lepidosauria; Squamata; Colubridae
Source: RefSeq, a predicted model, not a curated record
GAUCCCAGGCGGCCCCUUUCAGCCCCGGGCGCGAGGCGCACCUGAGCGAGCCUUCGCCGACCUGCCCGGCCUCCUCCGUUGCCCGAACCCGCUGAGCGGCUGCUUUGGCUCGCUUGCCCCCCAAGCCCUCUAAAGAGGCCCGCUGCUCUCGGGGACGGGCAGAUGUCGGCAGAUGUGCGUGUUCCAAGCCGUUGGAGCCCGGAAGCCGCCUUUCAGGGGGCGACAAGCAGCAUCCCUGAGGUAAUGGAAGGAACCAAAUGGGGUAUUGGUCACAUGGUUGGUUGGCGCAUUGAAUAAAAUAUCAUUGAGAAGGAAUAAAAGAAUGCCGUGGACCCCAGUCAGGCGAGUGAUUUUCCUUGUUUCCCGUUUCAAGACUCUCCAAUUAGGAAUGGAAAAGGCCACAAACAGCCGGCCAUUAGCAGCAGCAGCAGCACCACCACCACCACUCUAAUAGCCUGGCUCUGCAGAUUUUCUUUCCCCUAAAAGACUGUUCAAUUACAGGCUUUGGGUGCACUGGAACCAAAGGGAAAAAGGAUGCCAGAUGUUCUUCAGAUGUCACGCUCACACACCGGCACCAUCGAAACGGCUUCUUUGGGGCCUCCAGGGAGGGAGACAAACCAGGGUCUAGUGAGACGGGAGCCUUCCCUGGUUCCUACCGAGCCUCCUCCAGCAACCGGGGCCUCCGAACUGAAGCCACCCUGAAGGACCCAGAACUGCCCUAAUCUUCGUAUCAUCUGAAGGUCACAACUGCUGAGAAUCCAUCCCUCCCUCCCAGUGAUGACCUUUCUCCAGCUGGAGGCCACCAAGAGGAACAGGCACUUUCCCCGUUUUAUUUCCCCAGAGCGAUGACACCCCCACCACCUCCGCAACCCUCCUGCAAUCGGGGUCCCAAAUGUGCCAAAGCACAGAGAACAUAAAAGGCUGGAAAGCCAAAGGGUGUGUGUGAGGCCUCGGCCCCCCACUCCCUUCUCUCCCCACCCCAGACUGAAAACUCCAGCAACGAUGCCAAAAGCAACUCUGCUCCAUCGUCCCCAACCUUCCCUCCAUCCAUUGUGCAGAAUUUAAAAAACGGAUCUAGAUAUUUUGCAGAGUGACCCGA